This 435-nucleotide ribosomal RNA is filed under the name Staphylococcus aureus. RNAcentral's name for it is "partial 23S ribosomal RNA". It matches the Rfam family "Bacterial large subunit ribosomal RNA", at positions 1146 to 1581 of the family's 2925-position model. The record is from RNAcentral. Lineage: Bacteria; Bacillati; Bacillota; Bacilli; Caryophanales; Staphylococcaceae.
UAGUCGAGUGACACUGCGCCGAAAAUGUACCGGGGCUAAACAUAUUACCGAAGCUGUGGAUUGUCCUUUGGACAAUGGUAGGAGAGCGUUCUAAGGGCGUUGAAGCAUGAUCGUAAGGACAUGUGGAGCGCUUAGAAGUGAGAAUGCCGGUGUGAGUAGCGAAAGACGGGUGAGAAUCCCGUCCACCGAUUGACUAAGGUUUCCAGAGGAAGGCUCGUCCGCUCUGGGUUAGUCGGGUCCUAAGCUGAGGCCGACAGGCGUAGGCGAUGGAUAACAGGUUGAUAUUCCUGUACCACCUAUAAUCGUUUUAAUCGAUGGGGGGACGCAGUAGGAUAGGCGAAGCGUGCGAUUGGAUUGCACGUCUAAGCAGUAAGGCUGAGUAUUAGGCAAAUCCGGUACUCGUUAAGGCUGAGCUGUGAUGGGGAGAAGACAUUG